UAGUCCACGCCGUAAACGAUGAGUGCUAGGCGGCGGGAGAGUUUGACCCUUUCGUUGUCGAAGCUAACGCGUUAAGCACUCCGCCUGGGGAGUACGGCCGCAAGGCUAAAACUCAAAGGAAUUGACGGGGCCCGCACAAGCGGUGGAGCAUGUGGUUUAAUUCGACGCAACGCGCAGAACCUUACCUGGGUUAAAUCCCGUAACGAGCGCAACCCUUAUCCCUUGUUGCCAGCACGUAAUGGUGGGAACUCUAGGGAGACUGCCGGUGACAAACCGGAGGAAGGCGGGACGAUGUCAAGUCAUCAUGGCCCUUACGAGUAGGACUACACGCGUGCUACAAUGGUUGGUACAAAGAGAAGCAAAAUCGGUGACGUGGAGCAAAUCUACAAAAAGCCAAAUCGUAUCCGGAUUGAAGUCUGCAACUCGACUUCAUGAAGCUGGAAUCG
RNAcentral lists this ribosomal RNA (446 nucleotides) under uncultured bacterium. RNAcentral's name for it is "bacterial SSU rRNA". It matches the Rfam family "Bacterial small subunit ribosomal RNA", at positions 791 to 1334 of the family's 1533-position model. The record is from RNAcentral.